This 483-nucleotide ribosomal RNA is filed under the name uncultured bacterium. RNAcentral describes it as "partial 16S ribosomal RNA". It matches the Rfam family "Bacterial small subunit ribosomal RNA", at positions 28 to 523 of the family's 1533-position model. The record is from RNAcentral.
GACGAACGCUGGCGGCGUGCUUAACACAUGCAAGUCGAACGAUGAAGCUGGAGCUUGCUCCGGUGGAUUAGUGGCGAACGGGUGAGUAACACGUGAGCAAUCUGCCCUUGACUCUGGGAUAACUGCGGGAAACUGUAGCUAAUACCGGAUACGAGGAUCGAAGGCAUCUUCGGGUCUGGAAAGAAUUUCGGUCAAGGAUGAGCUCGCGGCCUAUCAGCUUGUUGGUGAGGUAAUGGCUCACCAAGGGGACGACGGGUAGCCGGACUGCGAGGGUGACCGGCCACACUGGGACUGAGACACGGCCCAGACUCCUACGGGAGGCAGCAGUGGGGAAUAUUGCACAAUGGGCGAAAGCCUGAUGCAGCAACGCCGCGUGAGGGAUGAAGGCCUUCGGGUUGUAAACCUCUUUUAGCAGGGAAGAAGCGAAAGUGACGGUACCUGCAGAAAAAGCACCGGCUAACUACGUGCCAGCAGCCGCGGUAA